CAUGCAGUCGAACGAUGAUCCCAGCUUGCUGGGGGAUUAGUGGCGAACGGGUGAGUAACACGUGAGUAACCUGCCCUUGACUCUGGGAUAAGCCUGGGAAACUGGGUCUAAUACCGGAUACGACCAUUCCACGCAUGUGGUGGUGGUGGAAAGCUUUUGUGGUUUUGGAUGGACUCGCCGCCUAUCAGCUUGUUGGUGGGGUAAUGGCCUACCAAGGCGACGACGGGUAGCCGGCCUGAGAGGGUGACCGGCCACACUGGGACUGAGACACGGCCCAGACUCCUACGGGAGGCAGCAGUGGGGAAUAUUGCACAAUGGGCGCAAGCCUGAUGCAGCGACGCCGCGUGAGGGAUGACGGCCUUCGGGUUGUAAACCUCUUUCAGUAGGGAAGAAGCGAAAGUGACGGUACCUGCAGAAGAAGCGCCGGCUAACUACGUGCCAGCAGCCGCGGUAAUACGUAGGGCGCAAGCGUUAUCCGGAAUUAUUGGGCGUAAAGAGCUCGUAGGCGGUUUGUCGCGUCUGCUGUGAAAGACCGGGGCUCAACUCCGGUUCUGCAGUGGGUACGGGCAGACUAGAGUGCAGUAGGGGAGACUGGAAUUCCUGGUGUAGCGGUGAAAUGCGCAGAUAUCAGGAGCAACACCGAUGGCGAAGGCAGGUCUCUGGGCUGUAACUGACGCUGAGGAGC
RNAcentral lists this ribosomal RNA (685 nucleotides) under Arthrobacter sp. J11. RNAcentral describes it as "bacterial SSU rRNA". It matches the Rfam family "Bacterial small subunit ribosomal RNA", at positions 54 to 754 of the family's 1533-position model. Lineage: Bacteria; Bacillati; Actinomycetota; Actinomycetes; Micrococcales; Micrococcaceae. The record is from RNAcentral.